RNAcentral lists this ribosomal RNA (207 nucleotides) under uncultured bacterium. RNAcentral describes it as "partial 16S ribosomal RNA". It matches the Rfam family "Bacterial small subunit ribosomal RNA", at positions 568 to 774 of the family's 1533-position model. The record is from RNAcentral.
CGCGUAGGCGGUUUGUUAAGUCAGCUGUGAAAGCCCUGGGCUCAACCUGGGAACUGCAGUUGAUACUGGCCGACUAGAGUACGAGAGAGGGAGGUAGAAUUCCACGUGUAGCGGUGAAAUGCGUAGAUAUGUGGAGGAAUACCAGUGGCGAAGGCGGCCUCCUGGCUCGAUACUGACGCUGAGGUGCGAAAGCGUGGGGAGCAAACA